Oxyura jamaicensis (ruddy duck) is the source of this 147-nucleotide long non-coding RNA. RefSeq lists it as uncharacterized. NCBI's taxonomy places the organism in Eukaryota, Metazoa, Chordata, Aves, Anseriformes, Anatidae. The record is from RefSeq and is a predicted model, not a curated record. The transcript is spliced from 3 exons.
CUCGGCAGUAUGUGCUACAGAAAUUUCCCUUCUGCAGUGUACCACACACCAACGUACUGAAAAAUGGGGGUGUACCGCCAAGCACUUCCCCGUGCAAGCGUUACCGCACACCUGAGUUUACCAGAUUCCCUGGAACUAGUACUUCCU